ACACAUGCAAGUCGAACGAGAGAGAGGGAGCUUGCUUCCUUGAUCGAGUGGCGAACGGGUGAGUAACGCGUGAGGAACCUGCCUCAAAGAGGGGGACAACAGUUGGAAACGACUGCUAAUACCGCAUAAGCCCACGGUGCCGCAUGGCACAGAGGGAAAAGGAGCAAUCCGCUUUGAGAUGGCCUCGCGUCCGAUUAGCUAGUUGGUGAGGUAACGGCCCACCAAGGCGACGAUCGGUAGCCGGACUGAGAGGUUGAACGGCCACAUUGGGACUGAGACACGGCCCAGACUCCUACGGGAGGCAGCAGUGGGGAAUAUUGCACAAUGGGGGAAACCCUGAUGCAGCGACGCCGCGUGGAGGAAGAAGGUCUUCGGAUUGUAAACUCCUGUUGUUGAGGAAGAUAAUGACGGUACUCAACAAGGAAGUGACGGCUAACUACGUGCCAGCAGCCGCGGUAAAACGUAGGUCACAAGCGUUGUCCGGAAUUACUGGGUGUAAAGGGAGCGCAGGCGGGCGAUCAAGUUGGAAGUGAAAUCCAUGGGCUCAACCCAUGAACUGCUUUCAAAACUGGUCGUCUUGAGUAGUGCAGAGGUAGGCGGAAUUCCCGGUGUAGCGGUGGAAUGCGUAGAUAUCGGGAGGAACACCAGUGGCGAAGGCGGCCUACUGGGCACCAACUGACGCUGAGGCUCGAAAGUGUGGGUAGCAAACAGGAUUAGAUACCCUGGUAGUCCACACCGUAAACGAUGAUUACUAGGUGUUGGGAGAUUGACCCUCUCAGUGCCGCAGUUAACACAAUAAGUAAUCCACCUGGGGAGUACGACCGCA
This 826-nucleotide ribosomal RNA is filed under the name uncultured bacterium. Its description in RNAcentral is "bacterial SSU rRNA". It matches the Rfam family "Bacterial small subunit ribosomal RNA", at positions 51 to 890 of the family's 1533-position model. The record is from RNAcentral.